GCGAGAUCUCCGGUCUUGUUCUCCUGCUCGGGCUCCGUGAGGAGUCGCCCCUGAACUUCCGGAGCCUCCAUCAUGUGUUUUUCAUACUUUCUGACGGACCUGAGUGUCAGUGUGAACUUUACUGAACACGAUCCACCGUGACCAGGCAGCUUUUGAUGACAUGGAUCAACCCUCGUGUUCCUGAUCAACUAAAGUCUCCACGUUUCAUCUGGAUUAAAAGGUAUGUGGCCCUGAGGUCCCCACGCUGCAGUCACUGCCUGCAGGAGGAAGCACAGAGAAAAGAUGUAACGGCAGUUAAGUCCAUGUGAAGACGAGCUGGUCCUGAGACGACAUGAAAUGAUCCUCCGUGGUGUAACCGGUGGUGAAAGGAGAGACGGCAGCUUUGAACUGAUUCAGAAGUCGCACAGGAAAAUACAUUUUAAAAACCGUGUUUAUUUAAAAAGUAAUGUAUAAAAAGUGUCAUGGCACAUUCAAGUAUUCAACAUAAUUAAGAGUAACAAUGAUCCUCUUAAAGAUGCCCUGUACGCAUUGUCCAAUCUGAGUUGAAGGACGAUCUGUUCUUCUUUAAAUUUUCUAGAAAGAUGUUCUCCUCCUGGAGGUAUUCUCGGUCCUGUGGACAGAAACAAACAUGUAUGGUCUUGGGUAGAAGUUUGAAAAUGAGCCUCAGCACUUUACUGUAUUGAUAUUUACAAUAAAAACCUUGUACAGUAAAAA
Paralichthys olivaceus (Japanese flounder) is the source of this 714-nucleotide long non-coding RNA. RefSeq lists it as uncharacterized. Lineage: Eukaryota; Metazoa; Chordata; Actinopteri; Pleuronectiformes; Paralichthyidae. The record is from RefSeq and is a predicted model, not a curated record.